UUUAUUGGAGAGUUUGAUCCUGGCUCAGGAUGAACGCUGGCGGCGUGCCUAAUACAUGCAAGUCGAGCGAAUGGAUUAAGAGCUUGCUCUUAUGAAGUUAGCGGCGGACGGGUGAGUAACACGUGGGUAACCUGCCCAUAAGACUGGGAUAACUCCGGGAAACCGGGGCUAAUACCGGAUAACAU
Molecule: ribosomal RNA, 185 nt
Filed under: Bacillus cereus
Lineage: Bacteria; Bacillati; Bacillota; Bacilli; Caryophanales; Bacillaceae
Also listed under: 1 other name
Description: partial 16S ribosomal RNA
Rfam family: Bacterial small subunit ribosomal RNA
Source: RNAcentral